UGUUAUUUAUCUCUCUCCUCUCUCCAAAUUCUCUCAUCCUCUCUUUUACAGAACUUUCAUCUUCACCGUUUGCAUGUAUUCGGAUUUUCACCGGACAGAGGAAUAAGAAAAUGUUUCGAAAAAAGAAGAUGAUUGGUUCAAAUAUAUUUGACCCUAAGACAGAGAUGGACUCGAUUUUCUCUCACCAUGGUUCAUCUCCAAAUGGUGAUUUCGGUUCUGAUUUCAACCUCAGGAACUUCUCAUCGAAAUCAUAGGUGGGCCGUCGGAUUCUAAGUCCUAUGGUGAAGGUUGCACGAGGAUUCUCAUUCGCUCCCACCGACUCUGUAUCCCAGAUCCUCUCGCCUACUUCAAGGGUCUAUAGCUGGAGGGUCCAAAGGCUUGUAAAGUACCAGUUUCCAGCAAAAAUCUUAUAAACAUUACAGAGAGGACUAGACCAGUUUCAGCCAAGGUCUAUAACCGUUGGUGGCAUUUCAGUUCCCAGCAAAGAUCUUAUAGGUACUUCCAAGAGGACCAGACCAAAAUUUAUAUCAAUAACAAGUUUUAGUUUAGCCGUUUUUAUCUAGAGAUAUUCCCUCAGGUGCUUUCGGUUGUAAAGCAUAAAUAUGUGAUUAAUUAACUGGCUCCAAAUGUAUUUAUCCAAUCAUAGUAUAGUUUAGCUU
Molecule: long non-coding RNA, 659 nt
Organism: Brassica oleracea var. oleracea
Lineage: Eukaryota; Viridiplantae; Streptophyta; Magnoliopsida; Brassicales; Brassicaceae
Exons: 3
Source: RefSeq, a predicted model, not a curated record